CCACGACAGAGGCAAACUCCUUGAAAAAUGAGGGCGCAAAGGCACGGGUCUAAGGUCCUUGUGACUAUGAUGGCUGGUCUGCCUGA
Non-coding RNA from Bacillus sp. FJAT-22058, 86 nucleotides. The record is from Rfam. Lineage: Bacteria; Bacillati; Bacillota; Bacilli; Caryophanales; Bacillaceae.